UCUUAGGGUCAAUGGCAGAGAAGGGGGCUCCAAGAUCCUUUCUGGAUGUCAUAUCAUGGACUUUUGGGAUCGUUUAUGUAAGACUCUUGGAGUCAGGUUAGUAUUCUUGAUUGCAGUUUGAGCUUCUUACAUGUCUGAUAAAAUUUUUCAAUUUCAUUCUUGCUUUUAUGCGAGACUAUCUUGUUCUAUAAUCUAUUUGUUUUUGUGCAUAAAAUAUUUUGUUUAGGCCUUCUAAUAUAUCUUCAAUUAAUUGGUGUGGUUCUUUGAGUUUAAUUAAUAGACAUUUCACGGUCUAGAUGGAGAGUUUGCAUUUGUGAAGAUAAGGAUAGUAGAUUUACCCUUAAGAAUGUAAAUGAGCAUAGAAUUGCUGAAGUUUCAUCUAUGGUUGGUAUGCAAUAUGUAUUUCAGGGUGCUGUCAUUAUGGAUUAUUGAACAUGCAGCAUUGUCAGAUCAUGUGAUAAUUUUGAUAAAAGUUGGUUGAUGCUACUUUUUGGAUAUUCUAUUUGAUGCUUCUCUUGACAUCGAAGGCUUUGAAUUACUAUACAUAUAAAUAUAAUGAAGUUGGAUGUGCAAUUUCACUGUUCUUGUAUUGCAGAUCAAAUUAGAUUUAAUAUCUUAAUAUCUUUUAUUUAUCCUUUUGGAUAUUGAUAAUCUGUACAUUAGUAUGAAUCACAUUAGGAUCAUAUGUUCUCAUCCAAUUGUUACGACUAGUUAAACCAGCUCUAUUUUCUUUUCCACACAUGAACAGAAAGGUCAGUGUUAUGGAUGUGUCGAAGAAGUAUGGAUUGGAUUACAGGCUUCUUCAUGCUAUAACCAAAGGCCGUCCGUGGUAUGGUGACUGGGGUUAUGAAUUCGGUGCUGGUAGUUUUGCUUUGACCCUUGAUGCUUAUAAGUCGGCUGUUGAAACUCUCUCCAGCAUACCCUUGUCCAUAUUUCUUUCUCAAGGGCGGAAGCCACGCACUCGCUUGCAGGAUAUAAUCUCAUUUUACCAAUCUUUGUCGGACCAUGAGCUUGUAAAUACAAGAGAUCUCUUCUGUUAUUUGAUAAGUUUGAUCCAAAAUGCUCACAAGUCUCCAUCAAGGGUUGAGGAUUCUACCAGCAAGAAGCGUCGUUCUUGCACAGGGAUUUCUCCUUCAUGGAGUAAGGCUGAUGUUGAACAUGUUGAAGAAGCCAUGUUCAGAGUUCUUCGGGCCGUCUCUGGGUCCAACUGGGUAAGUUGGCGUGCGCUGAGAGGUGCUGUUUGCAAAGUGGCUCCCCCCGAGCUCCUUGAUCAUUGCCUUAAGGAACUUGGGGGGAAAGCGGCAGCUGAUGGAAUGAUUGUUGGUACCCGAUGCAAUCCUGAUUCAGGCUCUUUUGAGUACAGGUUAGCCACUACUCUACAUGCCAUUUUAGUCAUUAUUGGUAUGCAUAGUAAGAUCAGCAGUGAAUUUGGGGAAAUAUUUCAGUUCUUCAGUUUGCUUGGUGUUUAUACUUUACUGAAUGAUGUAACUUUGAGAAAAAAUUUCUUAGAAAACAAGGUCAUGAAUGUUUGGGUCAAAUAUAGGUUCAAUUUGGGUGCUAGUAGGUGAAUAUUGUUAGGACUUGGGAUUAUGGUCUAUUGGCCUUCUUCCUUUUUUUCUUUCAAAUUUAAUGCUUUAUAAUUCCAGUGAGUUAAGUUUCUAAAUCUUAACAUUUCAAUUCGUUGCAGGCUUGAGCCUGGAAAUCCUCCUUCAAAUGUUGUCAACAUUGGCAUUGGUUCUUCUAUAAUUACCUGCCCAUCUGAAGAAAAUCUCAUGCAAGACCUGAGAUUUCUUUAUGAAUGCUUGCUACACCCUAGGACCAUGGUGAGUUACGGAACUGAAGCCACAAGGGAUCUUGCUAUUGGUUCAGCUGAAAAGCUUCUCGACUGCAAACAGUUUGUGAAAGAGUACAUGGCUGAGAAGGUAUCACAAAUUACUAACCCACCUGUUAUAUGCAUCUCAUGUGAUGUGGAAAUAAUGGAUCAGACAGAAGAAAAUGCUCCAAACUACCCGCCAGAACUAGUUGUCUUGCCCCCAAAUGCUACUGUUUCUGACCUCAAGCUUGAAGCAUCAAGGGCAUUUCAAGAAGUUUAUUUGAUGUUCAAAAAAUUCCAUGCUGAAGAGCUUCUUGGCUGUAGCGGUGUUGACGAUUCCACCCAGGUCAAACUCUUGUUAGGGUCAACUGAAUUUGUUAGACUACGGGGGAGAUGCCUUGGGAAAAAUGGUCUUUGCAAAUUUAGAAUGGAGAGAGGAAUUGAGAGAUGGACUGUUGAUUGCAAUUGUGGUGCUAAGGAUGAUGAUGGAGAGAGAAUGUUGGCUUGUGAUGUGUGUGGUGUGUGGCAGCACACAAGGUGUUCUGGUAUUCCCGACUCGGAUUCUGUGCCUGCUAAGUUUGUUUGCCAUCGAUGUAGAGCUUCUGGCCAAGUGACCAACUCUAGUGGGUAGUGGAAGGAUGAAACACACUGAUUCUGUUGGUGGCAAUGGCAGCAGCUUUGGAAAGAGCGUGUCAAAUCUGUAUGGUGUCUUUUUGGAGUUUUUAGCGCAAAGUGCAUUUGUACAUAAGAAACAAGCCUAGAAAGUGCAUCAAUGCAGUUGGUCUCUCUUUCCAAUUUUCAUGUGAUAUCCAUUUACUAUGUACGUCAUAAUAAGUUAAAAUUCACAUGUUCAACAUAAGAUGUUUAAAAUUUACAUGAUCAACACAAGAUUUUAAGCAAAGGCAAUG
RNAcentral lists this unclassified non-coding RNA (2721 nucleotides) under Hevea brasiliensis (rubber tree). The record is from RNAcentral. Lineage: Eukaryota; Viridiplantae; Streptophyta; Magnoliopsida; Malpighiales; Euphorbiaceae.